This 253-nucleotide ribosomal RNA is filed under the name uncultured bacterium. Its description in RNAcentral is "partial 16S ribosomal RNA". It matches the Rfam family "Bacterial small subunit ribosomal RNA", at positions 524 to 776 of the family's 1533-position model. The record is from RNAcentral.
UACGGAGGGUGCAAGCGUUAUCCGGAUUCACUGGGUUUAAAGGGUGCGUAGGCGGGCAGGUAAGUCAGUGGUGAAAUCCCCGAGCUUAACUUGGGAACUGCCGUUGAUACUAUCUGUCUUGAAUACUGUGGAGGUAAGCGGAAUAUGUCAUGUAGCGGUGAAAUGCUUAGAUAUGACAUAGAACACCUAUUGCGAAGGCAGCUUGCUACACAGUUAUUGACGCUGAGGCACGAAAGUGUGGGGAUCAAACAGG